This 465-nucleotide ribosomal RNA is filed under the name uncultured bacterium. RNAcentral describes it as "partial 16S ribosomal RNA". It matches the Rfam family "Bacterial small subunit ribosomal RNA", at positions 28 to 507 of the family's 1533-position model. The record is from RNAcentral.
GACGAACGCUGGCGGCGUGCUUAACACAUGCAAGUCGAACGGAAAGGCCCUGCUUGCAGGGUACUCGAGUGGCGAACGGGUGAGUAACACGCGGGUGAUCUGCCCUGCACUUCGGGAUAAGCCUGGGAAACAGGGUCUAAUACCGGAUAGGAGCCAUUUUGAGGCGGAUGGUUGGAAGGUUAUUUUGGGUUUGGUUGGGCUUGCGGGCUGCAUCUUUGUUGGUGGGGUAAUGGCCUACUAAGCCGGGGACGGGCGGCCGGCCUGCGGGGGUGGACGGCCACAAUGGGACUGAGAGGCGGCCCAAGCUCCGACUGGGGGGAGGAGGGGGGAAUCUUGCACAAAGGGCGCAAGGCUGAUGCAGCGACGCCGCGGGGGGGAAGACGGCCUUCGGGUUGGAAACUCCAUUCGCUAGGGACGGAGCAUUUUGUGACGGUACCUAGAUAAGAAGCACCGGCUAACUACGUG